GGUUAUGUCUCAGGGGUAGAGCACUUGCCUAGCACGUGAGAGGCCCUGGGUUCGAUCCUCAGCACCA
RNAcentral lists this transfer RNA (67 nucleotides) under Marmota monax (woodchuck). RNAcentral describes it as "tRNA.Ala". Lineage: Eukaryota; Metazoa; Chordata; Mammalia; Rodentia; Sciuridae. The record is from RNAcentral.